CGGAUUGGAGUCUGCAACCCGACUCCAUGAAGCUGGAUUCGCUAGUAAUCGCGCAUCAGCCACGGCGCGGUGAAUACGUUCCCGGGCCUUGUACACACCGCCCGUCAAGCCAUGGGAGCCGGGAGUGCCUGAAGUACGUGACCGCAAGGAGCGUCCUAGGGUAAGACCGGUGACUGGGGCUAAGUCGUAACAAGGUAUC
This 199-nucleotide ribosomal RNA is filed under the name uncultured bacterium. RNAcentral describes it as "partial 16S ribosomal RNA". It matches the Rfam family "Bacterial small subunit ribosomal RNA", at positions 1294 to 1500 of the family's 1533-position model. The record is from RNAcentral.